RNAcentral lists this ribosomal RNA (212 nucleotides) under Tsukamurella pseudospumae. Its description in RNAcentral is "partial 16S ribosomal RNA". It matches the Rfam family "Bacterial small subunit ribosomal RNA", at positions 1 to 212 of the family's 1533-position model. Lineage: Bacteria; Bacillati; Actinomycetota; Actinomycetes; Mycobacteriales; Tsukamurellaceae. The record is from RNAcentral.
UUUUUUAUGGAGAGUUUGAUCCUGGCUCAGGACGAACGCUGGCGGCGUGCUUAACACAUGCAAGUCGAACGGUAAGGCCCUUCGGGGUACACGAGUGGCGAACGGGUGAGUAACACGUGGGUGACCUGCCCUGUACUUCGGGAUAAGCCUGGGAAACUGGGUCUAAUACCGGAUAUGACCUUUCCCUGCAUGGGGUUUGGUGGAAAGCUUUU